UACAAUGAAGAGUUUGAUCAUGGCUCAGAUUGAACGCUGGCGGCAGGCCUAACACAUGCAAGUCGAGCGGUAACAGGAAAAAGCUUGCUUUUUUGCUGACGACCGGCGAACGGGUGCGUAACGCGUAUAGAAUCUGCCUUGUACAGGAGGAUAGCCUUUAGAAAUGAAGAUUAAGACCCCAUAAUAUUGGGAAGUGGCAUCAC
This 203-nucleotide ribosomal RNA is filed under the name Pseudoalteromonas phenolica. Its description in RNAcentral is "partial 16S ribosomal RNA". It matches the Rfam family "Bacterial small subunit ribosomal RNA", at positions 1 to 194 of the family's 1533-position model. The record is from RNAcentral. Lineage: Bacteria; Pseudomonadati; Pseudomonadota; Gammaproteobacteria; Alteromonadales; Pseudoalteromonadaceae.